CUGCAAAUAUUCCUACUGUUUGGAUUUUGUAAUCAUUAUUAUAGGCUAAACAUUCACUAUAAUAAGGCCAUGCACAUGUUCCCAGACCUAGUUCUUUACUUCCGUAGGUCUGGUCUUAGAAACAAUGGUGAUAAUU
Molecule: small nucleolar RNA, 136 nt
Organism: Suncus etruscus (white-toothed pygmy shrew)
Lineage: Eukaryota; Metazoa; Chordata; Mammalia; Eulipotyphla; Soricidae
Product: small nucleolar RNA SNORA72
Exons: 1
Source: RefSeq, a predicted model, not a curated record